GAUUUACAUAUUCGUGUGGAGGAAAGGAGAGACAACACGAUUAAGAUGCGAGAUGCGAACGUCCAAGCAAAGGAUAACGUCGCAAAGGUUUUCUGUUGGACCGGUGGGCGUGAGUGGAGAGCAACGCAGGAAGAGCAGUGAUCUCAAGACUUCGCUCUAUAUGUACUUGGAAAAUGAACGCACCGAAAGCUCCGACUGGCUGUGGUUCAAGGGGUACGAAAGAUAGAUGAGAUGAAUGUCGUACGUUGAAUGUAGUUAUAAAAAUAGUAAAUCUACGACACUUGUUACUUGCAGUGAUUCAAACUGCACUUGUACGCUGAAUUCCAUUAAUGCCUGGACCUGUCAAUUGUUACCGACCGUUCAAGU
Long non-coding RNA from Venturia canescens, 366 nucleotides. RefSeq lists it as uncharacterized. The transcript is spliced from 3 exons. NCBI's taxonomy places the organism in Eukaryota, Metazoa, Arthropoda, Insecta, Hymenoptera, Ichneumonidae. The record is from RefSeq and is a predicted model, not a curated record.